Molecule: ribosomal RNA, 252 nt
Filed under: uncultured bacterium
Lineage: Bacteria
Description: partial 16S ribosomal RNA
Rfam family: Bacterial small subunit ribosomal RNA
Source: RNAcentral
UACGGAGGAUGCGAGCGUUAUCCGGAUUUAUUGGGUUUAAAGGGUGCGCAGGCGGCACGGCAAGCCGGCGGUCAAAUCGCGGGGCUCAACCCCGCCCAGCCGUCGGAACUGCCGGGCUAGAGUGGGCGAGAAGUGCGCGGAAUGCGUGGUGUAGCGGUGAAAUGCAUAGAUGUCACGCAGAACUCCGAUUGCGAAGGCAGCGCACCGGCGCCCUACUGACGCUCAGGCACGAAAGCGUGGGUAUCGAACAGG